GCCCCUAUAGCUCAGUCGGCAGAGCAGUGGACUUUUAAUCCAUGGGUCGUGGGUUCGAUCCCCACUGGGGGCA
This 73-nucleotide transfer RNA is filed under the name Tessaracoccus sp. ZS01. It matches the Rfam family "tRNA". From Rfam's summary of the family: Transfer RNA (tRNA) molecules are approximately 80 nucleotides in length. Their secondary structure includes four short double-helical elements and three loops (D, anti-codon, and T loops). The record is from Rfam by way of RNAcentral. Lineage: Bacteria; Bacillati; Actinomycetota; Actinomycetes; Propionibacteriales; Propionibacteriaceae.